CGAGACUCCGAACUGCAAAUGACCCCGCCAAAAGCUCGAGGCAAUUGAUGUGUAACUCCUGUUCGUCUGGGGACCAUUUCCCUCCGGUGGAGAUAGGACCGCAACGUGCGCCCCAGCCCAGCAGACUUGCGUCCGAUUCCACGACGAAGUCCGGCCUCGUCCCAAAGAUUGCUCUUCCGUUCCAUGCUUCCAUGUGCUGCAGCCAC
Pelobates cultripes (western spadefoot toad) is the source of this 206-nucleotide non-coding RNA. The record is from the annotation of a GenBank genome assembly. NCBI's taxonomy places the organism in Eukaryota, Metazoa, Chordata, Amphibia, Anura, Pelobatidae.